AUCGCGGGGUGGAGCAGCUCGGUAGCUCGCUGGGCUCAUAACCCAGAGGUCGCAGGUUCAAAUCCUGUCCCCGCU
RNAcentral lists this transfer RNA (75 nucleotides) under Rhodococcus erythropolis CCM2595. RNAcentral describes it as "tRNA-Met". It matches the Rfam family "tRNA". Rfam says of the family: Transfer RNA (tRNA) molecules are approximately 80 nucleotides in length. The record is from RNAcentral. Lineage: Bacteria; Bacillati; Actinomycetota; Actinomycetes; Mycobacteriales; Nocardiaceae.